UACGGGGGGUGCGAGCGUUGUCCGGAAUCACUGGGCGUAAAGGGCGCGUAGGUGGCGCGGGCAGUCAACGGUGAAAGUUCGGGGCUCAACCCUGAAUCGGCCGUCGAUACUCCCGGGCUUGAGCACUGUAGAGGCUAAUGGAAUUCCGGGUGUAGCGGUGGAAUGCGUAGAGAUCCGGAAGAACACCGGUGGCGAAGGCGGUUAGCUGGGCAGUUGCUGACACUGAGGCGCGACAGCGUGGGGAGCAAACAGG
RNAcentral lists this ribosomal RNA (253 nucleotides) under uncultured bacterium. Its description in RNAcentral is "partial 16S ribosomal RNA". It matches the Rfam family "Bacterial small subunit ribosomal RNA", at positions 524 to 776 of the family's 1533-position model. The record is from RNAcentral.